RNAcentral lists this ribosomal RNA (119 nucleotides) under Pteropus alecto (black flying fox). The record is from RNAcentral. Lineage: Eukaryota; Metazoa; Chordata; Mammalia; Chiroptera; Pteropodidae.
GUCUACAGCCAUGCCACCUUGAACAAGCCCGAUCUUGACUGAUCUCAGAAGCUAAGCAGGGUCGAGCCUGGUUAGUACUUGGAUGGGAGACCACCUAGGAAGACCAGGUGCUGUAGGCA